UCCAAGACAGCACUUUAUGUUGCUAGCAACACCAAUGAAUGGCUUUCCAAGGUGAUUGGACCUGAGAUUGAGACAAUUGAUAUCAAUGUCUGGGGAUUUCGCUUCCAACUCCAGCUUCCCACUGACCUCAAGAAGCUUAGGGUACUGAACUUGGGUAUGGGGUUUAGACUGUCGCUAGAAAACUUCCCCCACAUAUUUGCAGCUUCCCUAGUCUGAAGACGUUGCAGCUUUGUCACAUCCACUGGGGGGCAUCAGACACCCCAGCUUCAACUGUGAGACCUGUUACACCAGAAAGCUUUAUAUGAAAUGGUGAGACCUGUUACAUGUGGAAGCAGUCUGAGAUAUAUCUAGAAAAUAAGGUUUUAAGAACCGUCUAUUGCUGUCUAUUGGCAAACUUGGCCCUUCUCUUUUCCAAAUACCCAAAUUCCGAAGACUGGUAGUGAAAACUUGUGAUUCAAAACUGGGUUAGUUGAGUUAAACGGUACAAACUGAGAAAACUACUGCUAUGAACUUUGAUACAAAAAGUAUAUUUGAUACAAGCUACUAUGUAUGACAGACUUCAAAUAGGCCUCUGGUUUGGUCUUCGUCAGAAGUUGCGUUAUACAUCAGCAAUUCGAAAAACUCAGAUUACAUCCACAAACUCCUCCCGACUUCACGAAAGCACGCUUCGGCUUUGCUACUCAUCGACAGCACAAGCAGACACAUUUCUGCCCCAAACCAAUGGCUCAAAUAGUAACAGUUCCUUUCUUUAACCUUUUCUCGGCCAGGGGAUGGAGCUCACUCAUCUGCAUCUUCCAACUCAUCUGGCACGUGAAGCAUCUCAAUGGCAGCCUAAAAAACCACAAUUUCAUGAUGGUUAAGUGGCUCAGAUGUUAUGGUACCAUUCAUUUCCUUGAAAACAUUUAACUUCACAAAAUCCAAAUACCUUGAUUAUAGCCACAUCAGUGGAGGAUAUUAGCCUUUUGAUACAUUGGAAGAGGGUUCUUUCUAUCUGCCAAUAUUGCCCUGUCCAUCAUCUCUAAUGCUUCUUCAUUUCUCUGCAACCGGAAACAGGCAUAUGCAUAUUACAGACGACUAAAACCGGCUUACCAACAGCCAAUUAUUCAACAGCUGGCAUCUCACCUUCAACGCAUGUAACGCAGUGCCGAGAUAUGACAUUAUAACCGAUGAACGUGGAUUGAUUUGGAAAGCCAUUCUGAAGUGGU
This 1205-nucleotide long non-coding RNA is filed under the name Linum usitatissimum (flax). RNAcentral describes it as "long non-coding RNA (LUSI_LNC004777)". Lineage: Eukaryota; Viridiplantae; Streptophyta; Magnoliopsida; Malpighiales; Linaceae. The record is from RNAcentral.